This 564-nucleotide long non-coding RNA is filed under the name Panicum hallii. RNAcentral describes it as "long non-coding RNA (PHAL_LNC000840)". The record is from RNAcentral. Lineage: Eukaryota; Viridiplantae; Streptophyta; Magnoliopsida; Poales; Poaceae.
UCCGGGUAGACGCCGUCCUUGGGGUGCAGGUACUGGACCUCGCCGUUGGGGAAGACGCGGUAGAACUGGUAGUUGAUCUUGUACUUGGAGCGCAGCCUGGUGCCCAGCGCCAGGCACUGCUCCUUGCGCGCCAGCUUCAGGAGGUUGGGCCCCUCCCGCAUGAUGGCGGCGCCGCCCGUGGGCAUCUCGAACACCUGUUCCUUGGGGGACGUCCACGUGAUCACGUAGAACUCCUCCACCUGCGCCUUGCGGAGCAGGCCCCCCGUGCUGCCGCCGAAGAUCGGGGACGGCGUGUUGGGGUCCAGCUGCGGGGGCACGAACCCCUUGGGGGCCUCCUCGGUCGCCGCCGCCGCCGCGGGCUCCUCGGCUGCCGCGCGGAGCGGGGCCGGCCCGCGGGAGGACGACGGGAGCGCCAGCUGGGACGACCGCGGCGCCUUCGCCGGUGACCAGGCCGCCGCCAGCAGGUGGCGCGUCGCGGCGGAGGCUUGCGUGGCCAUGGCCAUCGGCUUCUUCGGGCGGAAGCUAAGCUGGGGUGCGCGGCAGCAGGAUGAUGCUGGGAGAAUG